GAAUUCGCCCUUAGAGUUUGAUCCUGGCUCAGGACGAACGCUGGCGGCGUGCUUAACACAUGCAAGUCGAACGAGAAUCUGCUGAAGGAGGAUUCGUCCAACGGAAGCAGAGGAAAGUGGCGGACGGGUGAGUAACGCGUGAGGAACCUGCCUUGAAGAGGGGGACAACAGUUGGAAACGACUGCUAAUACCGCAUGACGCAUAGAGGUCGCAUGAUCUUUAUGCCAAAGAUUUAUCGCUUCAAGAUGGCCUCGCGUCUGAUUAGCUGGUUGGCGGGGUAACGGCCCACCAAGGCGACGAUCAGUAGCCGGACUGAGAGGUUGAACGGCCACAUUGGGACUGAGAUACGGCCCAGACUCCUACGGGAGGCAGCAGUGGGGAAUAUUGGGCAAUGGGCGCAAGCCUGACCCAGCAACGCCGCGUGAAGGAAGAAGGCUUUCGGGUUGUAAACUUCUUUUAAGAGGGAAGAGCAGAAGACGGUACCUCUAGAAUAAGCCACGGCUAACUACGUGCCAGCAGCCGCGGUAAUACGUAGGUGGCAAGCGUUGUCCGGAUUUACUGGGUGUAAAGGGCAUGCAGCCGGGUCUGCAAGUCAGAUGUGAAAUCCAUGGGCUCAACCCAUGAACUGCAUUUGAAACUGUAGAUCUUGAGUGUCGGAGGGGCAACCGGAAUUCCUAGUGUAGCGGUGAAAUGCGUAGAUAUUAGGAGGAACACCAGUGGCGAAGGCGGAUUGCUGGACGAUAACUGACGGUGAGGCGCGAAAGUGUGGGGAGCAAACAGGAUUAGAUACCCUGGUAGUCCACACUGUAAACGAUGAAUACUAGGUGUGCGGGGACUGACCCCCUGCGUGCCGCAGUAAACACAAUA
Molecule: ribosomal RNA, 867 nt
Filed under: uncultured bacterium
Lineage: Bacteria
Description: bacterial SSU rRNA
Rfam family: Bacterial small subunit ribosomal RNA
Source: RNAcentral